UGGGGAGUAGCGUAACGGCUAGCGCUGUGGUCUCUAAAACCAUAGGAGUGGGUUCGAUUCCCACCUCCCCCG
Molecule: transfer RNA, 72 nt
Filed under: Phage Phass-1
Lineage: Duplodnaviria; Heunggongvirae; Uroviricota; Caudoviricetes
Rfam family: tRNA
About the family: Transfer RNA (tRNA) molecules are approximately 80 nucleotides in length. Their secondary structure includes four short double-helical elements and three loops (D, anti-codon, and T loops).
Source: Rfam by way of RNAcentral